Molecule: ribosomal RNA, 388 nt
Filed under: uncultured bacterium
Lineage: Bacteria
Description: bacterial SSU rRNA
Rfam family: Bacterial small subunit ribosomal RNA
Source: RNAcentral
CCUAACACAUGCAAGUCGAACGGUAACAGGAAACAGCUUGCUGUUUCGCUGACGAGUGGCGGACGGGUGAGUAAUGUCUGGGAAACUGCCUGAUGGAGGGGGAUAACUACUGGAAACGGUAGCUAAUACCGCAUAACGUCGCAAGACCAAAGAGGGGGACCCUCGGGCCUCUUGCCAUCGGAUGUGCCCAGAUGGGAUUAGCUUGUUGGUGGGGUAACGGCUCACCAAGGCGACGAUCCCUAGCUAGUCUGAGAGGAUGACCAGCCACACUGGAACUGAGACACGGUCCAGACUCCUACGGGAGGCAGCAGUGGGGAAUAUUGCACAAUGGGCGCAAGCCUGAUGCAGCCAUGCCGCGUGUAUGAAGAAGGCCUUCGGGUUGUAAUAA